This 301-nucleotide ribosomal RNA is filed under the name uncultured bacterium. RNAcentral's name for it is "partial 16S ribosomal RNA". It matches the Rfam family "Bacterial small subunit ribosomal RNA", at positions 509 to 809 of the family's 1533-position model. The record is from RNAcentral.
CAGUAGCCGCGGUAAUACGGAGGGGGCUAGCGUUGUUCGGAAUUACUGGGCGUAAAGCGCACGUAGGCUGCUUUGUAAGUUAGAGGUGAAAGCCUGGUGCUCAACACCAGAACUGCCUUUAAGACUGCAGAGCUAGAACGUCGGAGAGGUGAGUGGAAUUCCGAGUGUAGAGGUGAAAUUCGUAGAUAUUCGGAAGAACACCAGUGGCGAAGGCGGCUCACUGGACGACUGUUGACGCUGAGGUGCGAAAGCGUGGGGAGCAAACAGGAUUAGAUACCCCUGUAGUCCCUGUCUCUUAUAA